AAGACACGAGCAGAGCAGGGAAGUAAGUAACUCCGCUUUGACGGGAGUUUUUGAGUAAGGUCUUCAGGUGGGCAAUAUUUUGAGUAUACAAAUAUUAUACGAGCUUUCUAAAAUGAUUUGAUGAUGUUAUGAGAUUAACAAAUGAUUUGAGAUAAAUGAUGUUUGAGAACUGUUUGACUUGCCAAUUUUUGAUGUUGAGCUUGUAUGUUACCCUCUACUGAUGAGAUGAGACGAAUUCGGGUCCUGGGCAGUUGAUAGCUAUCCUGCCAGGGCUAAUGUGCACAGAGGUGACUGUGAGCCGUUGAGCGAAUCGGCCGGUCACGGUACUUGAGAGGAAGGCCUACUUCUCAGUACCUUUGAUGAUGAUGAGUUGUAGAUGUGGUACAUACAUGUUGAGAUCUUUGACUGCAGUCGUUUACUUAUGAUGUCAUGAUUAUGAAAACUGCAUGCACAGAUUCAUUUACGCUAACUUUAUUUCUGUGUAUUGCUGAGAUGUGGCAAGUUUCAAACCUAUAGCUCUAAGAGCACCUUUCUUGUUUUUCGGCGUUUGCCCACUGAGUAUUAUGUACUCACGCCCUGCAUGUAUUUCUAAAUGUGCAGGCUAAGCGAGGAGCGAGAUUGGUCUGGUGCUGGCGGGGAAUUGUUAGAGGAUGUAUUUACUUUAUCGUAUUUCCAUUUUGACGAUAAAGUCUUGAUAAUUGAUAUACUUGGAUUUUCUUUUGAAGUUAAGCAAUGUACUCACGGUUAUAUGUCUUCAUACAUAUAAUCGAUUCGCCUUUUGCUGCGAUACUCUGCAUAUUAUGAUUCCUUACGAAAAAUGAGCGAUACCCGUUUUGUUUUUGAUCUUG
RNAcentral lists this long non-coding RNA (848 nucleotides) under Salvia miltiorrhiza (redroot sage). RNAcentral's name for it is "long non-coding RNA (SMIL_LNC006007)". The record is from RNAcentral. Lineage: Eukaryota; Viridiplantae; Streptophyta; Magnoliopsida; Lamiales; Lamiaceae.